Molecule: transfer RNA, 82 nt
Filed under: Aequorivita viscosa
Lineage: Bacteria; Pseudomonadati; Bacteroidota; Flavobacteriia; Flavobacteriales; Flavobacteriaceae
Also listed under: 5 other names
Description: Aequorivita sp. 8-1b tRNA
Rfam family: tRNA
About the family: Transfer RNA (tRNA) molecules are approximately 80 nucleotides in length.
Source: Rfam by way of RNAcentral
GCUCGAGUGGCGGAAUUGGUAGACGCGUUGGAUUCAAAAUCCAAUGUCGCAAGACGUGCGGGUUCGAUUCCCGCCUCGAGUA